Molecule: long non-coding RNA, 630 nt
Filed under: Olea europaea (common olive)
Lineage: Eukaryota; Viridiplantae; Streptophyta; Magnoliopsida; Lamiales; Oleaceae
Description: long non-coding RNA (OEUR_LNC003787)
Source: RNAcentral
AGGCUUCACAAUGUGCCUUACAAUGCGACUUGGAAAAUGGAGGGAAAAAAUAAAAGAAAAGAAAACACUCUUUGAACGGGUAAAACCAUCUCUCUCCUCAUUUUCCCCCUUUUCAAACCCUCCAAACUAACAACACCAUUUUUCGGCGAAAUCUUGAAUUUUGAAGCACCAUGUCAUCGGUGAGAUUUACCUUCGAUGCUUUCUUUCAUUCCGACCGAUUGUCCAUAUUUGACCAUUCGACAAAGCCAUCGCCGUCUCAACAGUUCGGCCAUUAUGAAACAACAAAGACCCACCUCAAGCGUCCAUCAAAUCAUACUUCACACAUGGUAUUACGACUCGGAAGGAAAAUAUGUGGUUUAAUUAGUUAUUUAUUUGUGGUAUUAUGUCAGUCGAAGUGCUAUUGUGAAUUGUUCGUUCUUCGGUAUCUUUUUUUUUUCAUUUUAUUCAUGCAUUAGCCUUUCUCUUAAUUUUUCGGGAACAUAAAUGCUUGCAUACGCUGCUGCAAAUUUUGUCCUAUCCAUCUGUGGAACUUUAGUAUUGUUAUCUGAUUUUGAGUAGUCGUUGAGUGGAAUUUGAGGAGAAUUGUUUCCCUUAUUUCAGUUGAAUGGAAUUGGGUAAAUAGCACAAAAC